Molecule: unclassified non-coding RNA, 412 nt
Filed under: fungal sp.
Lineage: Eukaryota; Fungi
Description: partial internal transcribed spacer region
Rfam family: Eukaryotic small subunit ribosomal RNA (bases 1-46)
Source: RNAcentral
AAGUCGUAACAAGGUUUCCGUAGGUGAACCUGCGGAAGGAUCAUUAGUGGAUUAGUUUUUAACUCUUCUACACCCUUUGUGCACCAUUUUAACUUGGUUGGUUCCCUGUGAUAAUUUUGGUCUUUGACUGAAUAACGCGCUGGGUCCCGGAGGUAAUGUGCCUUUUGUUUCUUUACAAUGGUUGUAUUGUUUGUGUAAAGCUGUGUGGGACUGAGAUUCAUUCUACCAUGCAAUGUAGCACUACAAUAUUUCACAGAGUUUAUGGGCAUUAGGUUACGACCUUUUCGGAUGUAUCACCGUUGUGAUACAGGCUGACUGGCUUUUUGAGAGAGAUGCCUUUAGUUUACAUUAUACCUAAGUAUACCAUUCUUUGAAUGUAAUACAACCUUUAGCAAUGGAUCUCUAGGCUCCU